Molecule: ribosomal RNA, 446 nt
Filed under: uncultured bacterium
Lineage: Bacteria
Description: SSU rRNA
Rfam family: Bacterial small subunit ribosomal RNA
Source: RNAcentral
AGAACGAACGCUGGCGGCAGGCUUAACACAUGCAAGUCGAACGCGUGUAGCAAUACACGAGUGGCGCACGGGUGAGUAACGCGUGGAUAUCUGCCUUUUGGUUCGGAGUAACCCCGGGAAACUGGGGCUAAUACCGGAUGGUUCCUACGGGAUAAAGAUUUAUCGCCAAAAGAUGAGUCCGCGUACGAUUAGCUAGUUGGUGAGGUAAUGGCUCACCAAGGCGACGAUCGUUAGCUGGUCUGAGAGGACGAUCAGCCACACUGGGACUGAGACACGGCCCAGACUCCUACGGGAGGCAGCAGUGGGGAAUAUUGGACAAUGGGGGCAACCCUGAUCCAGCCAUGCCGCGUGAGUGAUGAAGGCCUUCGGGUUGUAAAGCUCUUUUGGCGGGACGAUGAUGACGGUACCCGCAGAAUAAGCCCGGCUAACUUCGUGCCAGCAGCCGC